Molecule: ribosomal RNA, 373 nt
Filed under: uncultured organism
Description: bacterial SSU rRNA
Rfam family: Bacterial small subunit ribosomal RNA
Source: RNAcentral
CGGGAGGGUGCAAGCGUUGUUCGGAAUUAUUGGGCGUAAAGGGCGUGUAGGCGGCUCGUUAAGUCUGAUGUGAAAGCCCUGGGCUCAACCCAGGAAGUGCAUUGGAAACUGGCGAACUUGAGUACGGGAGAGGGCAGUGGAAUUCCUGGUGUAGGAGUGAAAUCCGUAGAUAUCAGGAGGAACACCGGUGGCGAAGGCGGCUGCCUGGACCGAUACUGACGCUGAGACGCGAAAGCGUGGGGAGCAAACAGGAUUAGAUACCCUGGUAGUCCACGCCGUAAACGAUGAGAACUAGGUGUUGCGGGUAUUGACCCCUGCAGUGCCGCAGCUAACGCAUUAAGUUCUCCGCCUGGGAAGUACGGUCGCAAGACUA